RNAcentral lists this transfer RNA (93 nucleotides) under Patellaria atrata CBS 101060. It matches the Rfam family "tRNA". Rfam says of the family: Transfer RNA (tRNA) molecules are approximately 80 nucleotides in length. Their secondary structure includes four short double-helical elements and three loops (D, anti-codon, and T loops). The record is from Rfam by way of RNAcentral. Lineage: Eukaryota; Fungi; Ascomycota; Dothideomycetes; Patellariales; Patellariaceae.
UCCCCCGUGGCCAAGCUGGUUAAGGCGACAGACUGUUAUCCCAUCAAGGAUUCCGCAAUCUGGAGGUCGCUAGUUCGACUCUAGCCGGGGGAG